CAUUGUCAAUAUUAAAAUUUCUAAAGGGUAAGUCUGAAAUACCAAGCUUACACAGAUACAAGCACCAGCGAAGGUAAUGGAUUACAGAAGAAUCUUUAUCAUGGUUUUCCUUGUCUGCAUUGUAAUGGUAAAUUCAUACAGUUUUGAUACCAAUUACAGACCUGCGAAAAACAUUUUUCACGACGAAUACAGAAGAAUGAAUACACAACAACAACCCCCAUUAAAGUUAAACCAAAUCCUUCAAGCGUAUUAUAAAAAGGGUGUACAGGACAAAUACAAGAGAUGGUCAGAAUGCAGUCCAACAGGAUGUUAAAAGUAACAACCAUAAAGAAAAAACAAUUUAACUUAAUGAAUUAUUAAAAAGACAAAUAACAACA
Molecule: long non-coding RNA, 377 nt
Organism: Mytilus californianus (California mussel)
Lineage: Eukaryota; Metazoa; Mollusca; Bivalvia; Mytilida; Mytilidae
Exons: 3
Source: RefSeq, a predicted model, not a curated record